This 253-nucleotide ribosomal RNA is filed under the name uncultured bacterium. RNAcentral's name for it is "partial 16S ribosomal RNA". It matches the Rfam family "Bacterial small subunit ribosomal RNA", at positions 524 to 776 of the family's 1533-position model. The record is from RNAcentral.
UACAGAGGUCUCAAGCGUUGUUCGGAUUCAUUGGGCGUAAAGGGUGCGUAGGUGGUGAUGCAAGUCUGGUGUGAAAUCUCGGAGCUCAACUCCGAAAUUGCACCGGAUACUGCGUGACUCGAGGACUGUAGAGGAGAUCGGAAUUCACGGUGUAGCAGUGAAAUGCGUAGAUAUCGUGAGGAAGACCAGUUGCGAAGGCGGAUCUCUGGGCAGUUCCUGACACUGAGGCACGAAAGCUAGGGGAGCAAACAGG